Molecule: long non-coding RNA, 1868 nt
Filed under: Vigna radiata
Lineage: Eukaryota; Viridiplantae; Streptophyta; Magnoliopsida; Fabales; Fabaceae
Description: long non-coding RNA (VRAD_LNC013769)
Source: RNAcentral
GUUGAUGUUAUAUUAAUAGAUAGGUAUAGUAGUAAAUCUAGCCAUUACCAUUAUAGAACUAUAUAUGAGUAUUCAGACUAUAACAAUUCUAAUGAAGAUCUCUCACUUUUGACAGUUAGAGGAUUCCAGAAUAAUGAUAUAAAAUUUAGUCAAUCAUGUUAUUCGAACUGGAUACAAGACUGGUAGUACCGGCCAAAACUCAUACAUGUACUGAGUAUGUUCCAAUAAUUUUUUUUUCAUAAUAUGCUUUUAAAAUAAUUAUUUUAUCUUUCUUAUUCAAAGUAAUAUAUGGAAGUAUUUCAAUAAAAAACAUUUGAAAAUAGAGAAUAUUAUUGUUGUUGUUUUAAUAUGCGUAGUAACAGUAGUUAUUAUGGAAUAUGUAAGACAGCAUAUUUGUUUUAUUUUGAAUUAUAAUAGAUGACAAUCCAUAAGUUUAGCUUAUUUUACAUAAUGUACAAAUUUUUCUUCUCUAAUUUUUUGUUUUUGAGAAGUCUUUACUAGUUCCCUUGACGAGAUUAUUAAAGGAAUAAAAAUGAAACAAAAUUUACUAAAAAUAAUAUUAAUAUACAAUGUUUUUGUGAUUUUUGAUGCAGCAAUUGUUUUACAUGUUCUGGGUUGUGUACUUUUGAAACUAACUAUAUAUCUGUAUUACUAUAUUUUUCUGUUUAGUUACUGUCUAAAAAGUGAUUUGAACUUUAAUUACCUAAUUUACAAUGACCUAGCUCAUCUUAAUGGUUACAUUAGGCUAAUUUAGACAAGUUCUGCUAAUCUAGUAACUACCAUGUUCAUCUCCUGAUUUUAGGUAUAGUUUCCAUUAACUUUCUCCCAUCAUUAAGGCCUUAUUUACUUGAGUGGAUUUGAGGGAGACUAAUUGAAAGGACUUAAGAGGAUUUGAUGAUAAUUUUUUUUUUGUUUAUUUAAAUAGAUUUGUCAAUCUGUCAUAUAAAUUAAAUCCUACACUAAUUCUCAUAUAUUUUACUUCCAAAUCUACUCUCUGUUACCUCCAAAUCUAUUCAAAUAAAUAAAAAAAAAAAAUACCUUCAAAUCUUCUCAAUCACUUUUCCCCAAAUCCACUCAAGGAAACAAGGCUUAAGAGAUGCCAACCACCACUGUGAUCUUGCUUAAUAAAAUAACUGGCAAAGACAUGUUUUGGGAAACACUUUUUUAAGUUUGUGUUUAACUCAUAUUGGCCAUUAUUGAAAAUAGUAUAUUAAAAGAACUAUUCAAAUCAUGGAACCUUUCUAUUUUGCCCAUGUUUAACUAAUUUAUCUGUUGGCUAGUUAGCAUUACCGAAUAACUGAAUCUCAUACUGUAGAUAUCAACUCUGCUUUUUCUUCUGCAACUAAAUUUUCUCCUCGGUUGAUGCAUGAAAUGAGCUAAUCCAACCUAUAAUUAAUUGACCCUUUCGGAAUUGUUUUUCUUAUCACCUUCUAACUGUUUUUUGUAAGAUAUCCAGAAGCUAGACAAUUGUAUAUGCUUGUUGAUUAGUAGGUUUAAUCAUUUUGAAGUAUGACUCUCCCACAAAGAUUAUAUUCUACAAUUGUUCGUAACACAUGUUCUACAUAGCAAAUAUAGUUAUUUGUAAUGUAAGAAAAUAUCCCACACAAGCUAACAUGAAAAACCGAAAAAUAAAAGUCUCCAUAAUCCAAAGUGAGGAAAUUCAAGAAAAAAAAAAUAUGAGGAAACAGGCUUAUUUUUGUGUAUUUAUUUUCUCUGUUCCUUUGUAUUCAGGUUAGAGUAUCCUUUAUAACUUAUCAAAUUUGAUAUCAAAUGAAUGCACCAAACUCAACGACAACAUGUGCAUAACCAUGCAUGUUGAUUAUGGUUUCACUUACUUGGUUGUGAGUAAUGCUAAUUAAAUUAACUAG